CUGUCCUACGGGACGCAGCAGUAGGGAAUCUUUCACAAUGGGCGAAAGCCUGAUGGAGCAACGCCGCGUGCAGGAUGAAGGCCUUCGGGUUGUAAACUGCUUUUAUAAGCGAGAAAUAUGAUGGUAACUUAUGAAUAAGGAUCGGCUAACUACGUGCCAGCAGCCGCGGUCAUACGUAGGGCGCGAGCGUUAAUCGGAAUUACUGGGCGUAAAGCGCGCGUAGGCUGUUGUGUAAGUUGGGGGUGAAAUCCCACGGCUCAACCGUGGAACAGCCCUUGAUACUGCGCGACUUGAAUCCGGGAGAG
This 305-nucleotide ribosomal RNA is filed under the name uncultured bacterium. RNAcentral's name for it is "bacterial SSU rRNA". It matches the Rfam family "Bacterial small subunit ribosomal RNA", at positions 334 to 656 of the family's 1533-position model. The record is from RNAcentral.